GCUGCAUCAAGGCUCCAAUCACACUGCUAAACAACAUUCAAAAGCCCUCAAUCCUAACACUUUGAACAUGUCAGACAAUCAACCAGCACGCAGGACUGCGUCUUCUAGAGAGGGAAUGGGUGGCGCUAAGGGAAGAAAGGGUUCUUCAAAGAAGGAGGUGAAGGAGGUGAAGGAGAA
Long non-coding RNA from Vicia villosa (hairy vetch), 177 nucleotides. RefSeq lists it as uncharacterized. The record is from RefSeq and is a predicted model, not a curated record. Lineage: Eukaryota; Viridiplantae; Streptophyta; Magnoliopsida; Fabales; Fabaceae. The transcript has 3 exons.